GUGUUCACUUUGGCACCACAUAUACUAAAAUUGAAACAAUACAGAGAUUAGCAUGACUCCUGCACAAGGAUGACAUACAAAUUCAUGAAGCAUUCCAUAUAUUU
Molecule: small nuclear RNA, 104 nt
Organism: Loxodonta africana (African savanna elephant)
Lineage: Eukaryota; Metazoa; Chordata; Mammalia; Proboscidea; Elephantidae
Source: Ensembl